GCUCCGAAAACACAAAAAGCCGUCUUCAUAAGAGAGAGCGAGAGAGAGAGAGAGAGAGAGAGAGAGAGAGAGUCUGCACAUUCUGCGUCACUGAUCUUCGGAGAAUCGCAGCGAGAUGGGGAACCAGAAGCUGAAGUGGACGAAGGAGGAAGAGGAGGCGCUCCUCGCCGGAAUCGCCAAGCACGGCCCCGGGAAGUGGAAGAACAUCCUCAAAGACCCCGAAUUCGCUCCUGCCCUCGUCAACCGCUCCAACAUCGACCUCAAGGACAAGUGGCGUAACUUGAGCGUCGGUAAUUCCGGACAAGGUUCUAGAGAUAAACAAAGGCUGCCAAAAGUUAAAGGUGUGAUGGCCGCUCCACAGUCCAGUACUCCAAGUUCUGUGCCUCUAACUCCACAAGCUCAUACUGCACCUACUGAUGUUUCCAUGGUCAAUUCUUCAAAUAGCUUUCAAGACGGCAAGAAUUAUUCACUGCCCAACAUGCUAAUCUUUGAAGCACUUUCAUCCACGAAAGGUUCCUUUGGAUCUGAUAUUGGUGCCAUUGUUAGCUACAUUGAGCAAAGGCAAGAGGUGCUGCCAAAUUUUAGACGAUUACUGAGUUCAAAAUUGAGAAGGCUUGUUUCUCAAGGCAAACUCGAAAAGGUGCAGAAUUAUUAUAGGAUCAGUCUACAAGCUCCUCUAGGAACAAAAACACCGGUACAAGAGCAGAAGGAUGUUCGGUCCCUGCCGUCAAAGCAGUUGGCAUUGUCAAGUCAUGAGACACUGAAAGAGGUGGCAAUGGCUGCUGCCUACAAUGUUGUUGAAGCAGAGAACAAAUCGUUUUUGGCAGCUGAGGCUGUUAAGGAGGCUGAACGAGUCUCAAAAAUGGCAGAUGACGCAGUUAUGACGCUACAGCUAGUACAAGAGAUCUACGAACAAUGUUUGCAAGGUGAAAUUUUUCUCAUGGCAUAACCCAUUCAGAGUAACUCCAAAGGAUAUCUGAAUUGCCUUGCAUGUAAAUUUUUUCCAUGGAGCUCAAAGGUCAGUGGCUUCUAUGCAUAAGCCAAUCAGAUAAUAAUAUAUGUAUUAAAUAGAUGGCUUCAUGCUAGUUUUCUCUAGUAUGAUCUAUUGUAUAUGCUUCCCUGACAAAUUGCCUAAUUCUAAAGUUAUGCUUUUGC
This is an RNA transcript of Rhodamnia argentea, 1155 nucleotides long. It is a transcript of the gene named telomere repeat-binding factor 4-like, with no coding region annotated. The record is from RefSeq and is a predicted model, not a curated record. Lineage: Eukaryota; Viridiplantae; Streptophyta; Magnoliopsida; Myrtales; Myrtaceae. The transcript is spliced from 7 exons.